UACGUAGGGUGCAAGCGUUGUCCGGAAUUAUUGGGCGUAAAGAGCUCGUAGGCGGUCUGUCGCGUCGGAUGUGAAAACCCAGGGCUCAACCCUGGGCCUGCAUUCGAUACGGGCAGACUAGAGUGUGGCAGGGGAGACUGGAAUUCCUGGUGUAGCGGUGAAAUGCGCAGAUAUCAGGAGGAACACCGGUGGCGAAGGCGGGUCUCUGGGCCAAUACUGACGCUGAGGAGCGAAAGCGUGGGGAGCGAACAGG
Molecule: ribosomal RNA, 253 nt
Filed under: uncultured bacterium
Lineage: Bacteria
Description: partial 16S ribosomal RNA
Rfam family: Bacterial small subunit ribosomal RNA
Source: RNAcentral